This 464-nucleotide ribosomal RNA is filed under the name uncultured bacterium. RNAcentral describes it as "partial 16S ribosomal RNA". It matches the Rfam family "Bacterial small subunit ribosomal RNA", at positions 29 to 506 of the family's 1533-position model. The record is from RNAcentral.
AUGAACGCUGGCGGCGUGCUUAACACAUGCAAGUCGAACGAUGAAGCCCAGCUUGCUGGGUGGAUUAGUGGCGAACGGGUGAGUAACACGUGAGUAACCUGCCCUUAACUCUGGGAUAAGCCUGGGAAACUGGGUCUAAUACCGGAUAGGAGCGUCCACCGCAUGGUGGGUGUUGGAAAGAUUUAUCGGUUUUGGAUGGACUCGCGGCCUAUCAGCUUGUUGGUGAGGUAAUGGCUCACCAAGGCGACGACGGGUAGCCGGCCUGGGAGGGUGACCGGCCACACUGGGACUGAGACACGGCCCAGACUCCUACGGGAGGCAGCAGUGGGGAAUAUUGCACAAUGGGCGCAAGCCUGAUGCAGCGACGCCGCGUGAGGGAUGACGGCCUUCGGGUUGUAAACCUCUUUCAGUAGGGAAGAAGCGAAAGUGACGGUACCUGCAGAAGAAGCACCGGCUAACUACGU